RNAcentral lists this transfer RNA (67 nucleotides) under Hypancistrus zebra. Its description in RNAcentral is "tRNA-Cys". It matches the Rfam family "tRNA". From Rfam's summary of the family: Transfer RNA (tRNA) molecules are approximately 80 nucleotides in length. Their secondary structure includes four short double-helical elements and three loops (D, anti-codon, and T loops). The record is from RNAcentral. Lineage: Eukaryota; Metazoa; Chordata; Actinopteri; Siluriformes; Loricariidae.
AGCCUUGUAGUGUUUAACACAUCAGAUUGCAAAUCUGAAAAUGCGGGCUAGUUGCCUGCCGGGGCUU